RNAcentral lists this ribosomal RNA (342 nucleotides) under uncultured Faecalibacterium sp. RNAcentral's name for it is "bacterial SSU rRNA". It matches the Rfam family "Bacterial small subunit ribosomal RNA", at positions 21 to 358 of the family's 1533-position model. The record is from RNAcentral. Lineage: Bacteria; Bacillati; Bacillota; Clostridia; Eubacteriales; Oscillospiraceae.
GGCUCAGGACGAACGCUGGCGGCGCGCCUAACACACGCAAGUCGAACGGAGCUUAGAGAGCUUGCUUUUUAAGCUUAGUGGCGAACGGGUGAGUAACGCGUGAGUAACCUGCCCUAGAGUGGGGGACAACAGUUGGAAACGACUGCUAAUACCGCAUAAGCCCACGGUACCGCAUGGUACUGAGGGAAAAGGAUUUAUUCGCUUUAGGAUGGACUCGCGUCCAAUUAGCUAGUUGGUGAGGUAACGGCCCACCAAGGCGACGAUUGGUAGCCGGACUGAGAGGUUGAACGGCCACAUUGGGACUGAGACACGGCCCAGACUCCUACGGGAGGCAGCAGUAGG